UGCGAAGGUACUCGUAGUUUGAAAUAGAGCGAAGCAGCUCGACUAAGAAGGAGAGGAGCGGUUAGGCGCAAAGAAUUUGCGGGUCCUUAUCCUUAUUAGGUAGGAGUGCAACUCAGAAUGGAAGAGGUUAAUAUGGAUUUCUGACGACUGAGGUCUCGACUGAAAGGAUAAAAUAAAGCUCCAGAUGAGUUGAGAAGAAUUUGAGAAGAAUUUCUCUUCUUUCUUUUUUCUUUCGGGGCCCAGAAGGCUAAAAGGUGGGGGAGAAGCAAGCCGAACCUCUGAUCGACCCCUGGAAACAUCACAAAUUCUCGGCGUCGAGAGAGAUUUGAGAUUCCGUAAGUAACUCAGCGAGUGCUUUCUAAGCUAAGAAGGGCUUGACUUGGAAGAAGAAAAUGAAAUACGAACAACCGC
Cucumis melo (muskmelon) is the source of this 411-nucleotide long non-coding RNA. RefSeq lists it as uncharacterized. Lineage: Eukaryota; Viridiplantae; Streptophyta; Magnoliopsida; Cucurbitales; Cucurbitaceae. The transcript is spliced from 2 exons. The record is from RefSeq and is a predicted model, not a curated record.